UAAACUAGGGAUUAGAUACCCUAUUAUUGAAAAUGCAAAUUGUUAUGCUUGAGUAGUAGUAGUUAUGUUCUUGAAAUUCAAAGAAUCUGGCGGUAUUUUAGUCUAUUCAGAGGAACCUGUCCUGUAAUUGAUAAUCCACGAUUAAUUGUACUUAUUUUUAGUUUGUAUAUCGUCGUAGUUUGAAUGUUUUAGAAGAAAAUUGAACAUUCAAGAGUUAUAAUAAUAAAGUAAAUCAGAUCAAGAUACAGCGUAUAGAUAAGAAGAGAUGGGUUACAAUAAAUUUAUUUAAAUGGUUAUUAUAUUUAACAAUAUUUUAUAAAGUGGAUUUGAUAGUAAUAAAGUUAAGUUAAACUUUAUGAUUUUAGCUCUAAAAUAUGUACAUAUCGCCCGUCGCUCCUUCUUUAAAGAUGGAUAAGUCGUAACAUAGUAGGUGUACUGGAAAGUGUACCUAGAAUGGCAAAUUAGAGCUUGAUAUAAAGCAUUUUAUUUACAUUAAAAAGUUAGUUGUGAGAAUCAAUUUAAUUUGAAAUUAAGUGAUUAUUUGUUAUUUAUAAAAAAAAGAAUUUUUAUAUAAGUAUAUUUUAGAAAAUAAGGAGUUAAUUAUAGUGAAUAGUAUAGUGAUAGAAUUUUGAAUUAUUAAAUAAGUUAAUUAUUAAAAAGAAGAAUUUAAUUUUCGUACCUUGUGUAUCAGGGUUUAUUAAAAAAAGUUAAUUAUUUAAUUUUCUCGAAUUAAAAAGAGCUAUAACUAUAUAAAUUUAAAUGUUGCAUAAUUUUUUAUCAUAUAGUUAUGGUAAUGAAACGUUAGUCGUUUUUUAAUAUAUCUAGUUUCUUAAGAAAUAAAUUUAAUUUAAUUUUUUAAUUAUUUAUUAUUAAUUAUUUAGUGGUAUGUAUUAAGAAUUAAAUAUUUUAAGGGAUAAGCUUUAAAAUAAAUUAUUAAAAAUAUAUUUUAUAUUAUAUAAGAUAGGUAGGAUUGGAAAUUUUUAUCUGUAGUUUGUUAUAAUUAAUUUUAUAUUAAAUAAGAUUUAUAUUAAUUUUAAUUUUUUUAUUAAGAAUAUUUAUAUAAUUAUAUAUUAUAUGAAAUAAUGAUAAAAUUAGUAUAGUUUUAUGUAUGUUAUAAUUUAAUAUAAAGGUUAAAUUAAGGAACUCGGCAAAUAUAUUUUUCGCCUGUUUAUUAAAAACAUGUCUUUUUGAUUAUAAUUUAAAGUCUAACCUGCCCAAUGAGGAGUUAAAUGGCCGCGGUAUUUUGACCGUGCAAAGGUAGCAUAAUCAUUAGUUUUUUAAUUGAAAGCUGGUAUGAAUGGUUGGACGAGAAAAUAACUGUCUCGAUUUAAGUUAAAUUAGAAUUUUAUUUAUGAGUAAAAAAGCUCAUAUAAGUUUAAAAGACGAGAAGACCCUAUAGAAUUUAAUAUAAUUAUGUAUAUAUUAUUUUCAGAAUUAAUAAUAAGUUAUAUGUAAUUAUAUUUUGUUGGGGUGAUAGAAAAAUUUAAAUAACUUUUUUUAUAUAAAAACAUUAAUGUAUGAAAAAAUGAUCCGUUAAUUACGAUUAUAAGAUUAAAUUACCUUAGGGAUAACAGCGUAAUUUUUUUUUAGAGUUCUUAUCGAAAAAAGAGUUUGCGACCUCGAUGUUGGAUUAAAAUUAACUUUUGGUGUAGGGGCUAAAAGGUUAGGUCUGUUCGACCUUUAAAAUUUUACAUGAUCUGAGUUCAAACCGGAGA
RNAcentral lists this ribosomal RNA (1715 nucleotides) under Xylotrupes sp. NLG-2014. RNAcentral describes it as "partial 16S ribosomal RNA". The stretch from base 1567 to 1715 matches the Rfam family "Archaeal large subunit ribosomal RNA", at positions 2544 to 2693 of the family's 2987-position model. Lineage: Eukaryota; Metazoa; Arthropoda; Insecta; Coleoptera; Scarabaeidae. The record is from RNAcentral.